CUCCUACGGGAGGCAGCAGUGGGGAAUAUUGGACAAUGGGCGCAAGCCUGAUCCAGCCAUGCCGCGUGAGUGAAGAAGGCCUUAGGGUUGUAAAGCUCUUUCACCGGUGAAGAUAAUGACGGUAACCGGAGAAGAAGCCCCGGCUAACUUCGUGCCAGCAGCCGCGGUAAUAC
Molecule: ribosomal RNA, 173 nt
Filed under: uncultured Hyphomicrobiales bacterium
Lineage: Bacteria; Pseudomonadati; Pseudomonadota; Alphaproteobacteria; Hyphomicrobiales
Description: uncultured Rhizobiales bacterium partial 16S ribosomal RNA
Rfam family: Bacterial small subunit ribosomal RNA
Source: RNAcentral